UGGGGAAUAUUGCGCAAUGGAGGAAACUCUGACGCAGCAACGCCGCGUGAAGGAUGAAGGCUUUCGGGUUGUAAACUUCUUUGAUCGGGGACGAAAAUGACGGUACCCGAGGAACAAGCCACGGCUAACUACGUGCCAGCAGCCGCGGUAAUACGUAGGUGGCAAGCGUUGUCCGGAAUUACUGGGCGUAAAGGGCGUGUAGGCGGGGAGACAAGUCAGAUGUGAAAUCCCGAGGCUUAACUUCGGAGCUGCAUCUGAAACUGUUUCUCUUGAGUACUGGAGAGGAAAGUGGAAUUCCAAGUGUAGCGGUGAAAUGCGUAGAGAUUUGGAGGAACACCAGUGGCGAAGGCGGCUUUCUGGACAGUAACUGACGCUGAGGCGCGAAAGCGUGGGGAGCAAACAGG
RNAcentral lists this ribosomal RNA (404 nucleotides) under uncultured prokaryote. RNAcentral's name for it is "bacterial SSU rRNA". It matches the Rfam family "Bacterial small subunit ribosomal RNA", at positions 355 to 776 of the family's 1533-position model. The record is from RNAcentral. RNAcentral also lists the same sequence under 1 other name.